GAGGAAUAUUGGGCAAUGCCCGCAAGGGUGACCCAGCAACGCCGCGUGGAGGAUGAAUGCCGUAAGGUUGUAAACUCCUGUUAGAGGGGAAGAAUAAUUCCGAUUGCAUCGGAACUUGACUGUACCCUCAGAGAAAGCCCCGGCUAACUACGUGCCAGCAGCCGCGGUAAUACGUAGGGGGCAAGCGUUGUCCGGAUUUACUGGGUGUAAAGGGCGCGCAGGUGGGCUUGAUAGUUAGAGGUGAAAUCCUGUGGCUUAACUGCAGAACUGCCUUUAAUACUUCAAGUCUUGAGUGCGGAAGAGAGAGACGGAAUUCCAGGUGUAGUAGUGAAAUACGUAGAUAUCUGGAAGAACACCAGUUGCGAAGGCGGUCUCUUGGUCCGUAACUGACACUUAGGCGCGAAAGCGUGGGGAGCAAAC
Molecule: ribosomal RNA, 420 nt
Filed under: uncultured bacterium
Lineage: Bacteria
Description: bacterial SSU rRNA
Rfam family: Bacterial small subunit ribosomal RNA
Source: RNAcentral